GACAGAGGAGGCGAGCGUUAUCCGGAGUCAUUGGGCGUAAAGGGUACGUAGGCGGCUAGUCAAGUCUGAGGUUAAAGACCACAGCUUAACUGUGGGAAGGCCGUGGAAACUGACUGGCUAGAGUGGGGCAGGGGUUGCGGGAAUUCCCGGUGUAGCGGGGAAAUGCGUAGAUAUCGGGAAGAACACCUGAGGCGAAAGCGCGCAACUGGGCCCUGACUGACGCUGAGGUACGAAAGCUAGGGGAGCGAAUGGG
RNAcentral lists this ribosomal RNA (253 nucleotides) under uncultured bacterium. RNAcentral describes it as "partial 16S ribosomal RNA". It matches the Rfam family "Bacterial small subunit ribosomal RNA", at positions 524 to 776 of the family's 1533-position model. The record is from RNAcentral.